This 1375-nucleotide long non-coding RNA is filed under the name Parus major (Great Tit). Its description in RNAcentral is "lncRNA (ENSPMJG00000019101.1)". Lineage: Eukaryota; Metazoa; Chordata; Aves; Passeriformes; Paridae. The record is from RNAcentral.
UGACACCAUCCCGAGGAGCUCUGUUUGCCUCAGAGCGCUGGGGCACGGCCAGGGAGGUGCUGCAGGGUCACUGGCACACGCUGCAUCCCUCGAUCCCCUCCCAGGGCUGGCUCUCCAGACACAUCCAGCCUUCUCCCGCAGCAGGACAAGGCCAGGCUGCUCGGCCGCUCUCCCCGCGGCCCUGGAGUGGCUGCCUGAGGGCUCGGAUUGAGCUGCACGCUGCUAAAUAAGGCCAGAGCUGCUCUUUUCUCCCCGGUGUUGCCAUUCAAACCACAACAACAGCGGCGGCUCCCAUGGAAUAUUUAUGAGCUGCUUGCAGAAAUGUUAAGAAGAGCCAGCGGUUGUAUGAACACCCUCUGGAGCAGCGGCCUGGGGAGCUUCUGCCUGAUCUUUACUCCGAGCCUGCGUUGGUGUUUACAAGGGAGUUCCAAAUCCCUGUGGCACCCCCAUGUCCUGAGCCCAAGGCAGGAGCCGGUCACCAUCGCUCCAUCGUGGGCACCUUCCCCCUGUCCCCAUCCCCAGCGGCUCCGGGGGCUCUGCUGCCCAGGGAGGGCCCCAGGAGCUGCAGGGGGAGGCUGGGCAGCAGCAGCAGCUCCUCACCCCCGCCAGGCAGGCGCUCCCACCAAUUCCAGGUUCGCUCCAAGACUCCAGGACUAAAUGUUCCCGUUUGCUUUGGGCAGUAAAAGCUGGAAUUCUAACGAGGUUUCCGAGGCAGGCUGUUCCAUCCUGUAUUUCACUAAAUGCCUUUUCUUUGCUCUUUUCCUGCCUUGCUGCCAGGCUGACCUUGCUGGGAUGUGGGGAUGAAGGAGAAGCAACUUGAAGUCUGGGAAUGAAUUCCCACACACACCUGACCUCUGUGAAUUAGGGGUGGGAGUGGAAAAAACCCAGGAUGUUUAACUUUUCUCUGUAUGUUUUAAUUUGUGUGUCACUUUUAGGAAUUUUCCAACAUUUCCAGCUUACCAGAGGAGUUCAAUGCCAGCUUUCUCCAGGCUCCACGUGGGGAUGUGUGCCAGGUUGGACCCCAGUGGACACCAGCGUGGGAUCCCUGAGGAGCAGCAGGAACUGGGAAUGCUCCAGCCUGGUGGUGUGGAUGCAAAUGACUAAAAAUGUCCCUCAGUGCAUCAUAGAAUCAUGGAAGGGCUUUGGGUCCAAGGGACUUGAACAAGGCUUUGGGAUGAUUUAUUUUGUCUCAGGUCCGUUGCAUUUAAAUCAUUUCAAUUUUACACCUGAGUAGGAACAGCCCUGGCUGAAGCUGUGUCCCAGGGGCUCCUAUAGUUCUGUAUUUAAAACCUGUUCCUGCUCUGUGGCAGCUUACAAAUGUCCUGUGAGGGCAUUUCUGUGACAUCAGGCACAGCUUGUCCAGCUUUGAGGCCAG